This is a non-coding RNA of Equus caballus (horse), 934 nucleotides long. NCBI's taxonomy places the organism in Eukaryota, Metazoa, Chordata, Mammalia, Perissodactyla, Equidae. The record is from RefSeq and is a predicted model, not a curated record.
UCCCUGUGAGGGGCAGAGGCACUUGGGACAGAGGCUCCAUUAAGCGAGCACGAAGCCACGCAUGGCAGAGGUGGCCUCGCUCCUUCUUCUAGGGUCCGCUGCGUGGUCGCCCUGCCAGCAGUCCAGGGGUCCCACCAGUCCAGGGGUCCCCAUUCUUCCCGCUCCCAGCCCCUCCUGAGGGGGCCCUCACGGGCAGGGGAACAGGGAAGCGGUGGACUCACCAGGCCCCGCCCACCCCCACAGGACGCCCAGCAGCACCUGCAGUCUUCCGGAACCUUCCACGCCGCCUGCCCGUGACCCCUCCCCCCAAGACCUUCUGGAACCUUCUUUAACGGUCACCCCAUGAAGCGCCCGGACAUUCUGGAACCUUCGGAGCUGAACGUUGCGGGCGCGCAUGGGCGGGCGGGGCUCAGGCGGGGGUGAGCGCCAGGAGGACGCUCAGGGCCUGAGCGCAGUUCCCACAGCAGGAGCGGGUCCUCAGCUGUCUCCCGUGGGCCUUCGCGCUGCUUCUAGAAGGGCCAGGCACCACUGGAAAUGACCCUCCUCCUUGCUUUGCUCCUGGCCAUGGGCCUGCCACAGGUGGAGACAAACGUCACCGGGUCUGGAAGACAAGACGUACUGAGAUGUCACGUUUGCGAGAGAGAGAAUAAUUUCAACUGCGCUGGUCCUACGAACUGUAGCGACAGAGAGACGUAUUGUUCUUUUGCUGUUGUGAGAAUAUUUCCACGUUUCUUCUAUGUUUCAAAGCAAUGUGCAGAGUAUUGUUCAAUAAAGCCUCCAUACCUGGAGAAGUCGUUUGUAAUCAUAAAGCCUAUGCCCUUCUUAUACGUGAUGUGCUGUCAGACGUCGUUAUGCAACGAUGCUGAACCAGACAUCAGAGACGAAGAAGAUAACACCAAGAAAAAACCUAAAAAAGCAAGCGCCGUGAGGAGCA